CCAGACGGCCGGGCGGUCGCGGCGGGCCAGGAGAGAUCCUGUCUCGUCGAGGAAAGUCCGGGCUCCACGGUGAAAAGGCGGCGGAUAACUUCCGCCCGGGGUGACCCGAGGGACAGCGCCACAGAAAGCAAACCGCCUUCUUCGGAAGGUAAGGGUGAAAGGGUGGGGUAAGAGCCCACCGCGUCUUCGGCAACGCAGACGGCACGGCAAGCCCCGCCUGGAGCAAGACCGAAUAGGGACGUCGCGCGGCCUCGGCCGCAGGGCUCACCGCCUGGGACGUCCGGGUAGGUCGCGAGAACCGGUCAGCAAUGGCCGGUCCAGAGGAAUGAUCGUCGCCGGUCUUCGGACCGGAACAGAACCCGGCUUACAGGCCGUCUGGCAUU
Molecule: RNase P RNA, 383 nt
Filed under: Brevundimonas abyssalis TAR-001
Lineage: Bacteria; Pseudomonadati; Pseudomonadota; Alphaproteobacteria; Caulobacterales; Caulobacteraceae
Also listed under: 1 other name
Description: Bacterial RNase P class A
Rfam family: Bacterial RNase P class A
About the family: Ribonuclease P (RNase P) is a ubiquitous endoribonuclease, found in archaea, bacteria and eukarya as well as chloroplasts and mitochondria. Its best characterised activity is the generation of mature 5'-ends of tRNAs by cleaving the 5'-leader elements of precursor-tRNAs.
Source: Rfam by way of RNAcentral